GGACUACUAGGGUAUCUAAUCCCAUUCGCUCCCCUAGCUUUCGUCCCUCAGUGUCAGUUGCGGUCUAGCAGAGCGCUUUCGCCACCGGUGUUCUUCCUGAACUCUACGCAUUUCACCGCUACACCAGGAAUUCCCUCUGCCCCUACCGCACUCUAGCUUUGAAGUUUCCACUGCCUUUAUUUGGUUGAGCCAAACUCUUUGACAGCAGACUUUCAAUGCCACCUGCGAACGCUUUACGCCCAAUCAUUCCGGAUAACGCUUGCAUCCUCCGUAUUACCGCGGCUGCUGGCAC
RNAcentral lists this ribosomal RNA (292 nucleotides) under uncultured bacterium. RNAcentral describes it as "partial 16S ribosomal RNA". The record is from RNAcentral.